GAUGAACGCUGGCGGCGUGCCUAAUACAUGCAAGUAGAACGCUGAAGGAAGGAGCUUGCUCUUUCCGGAUGAGUUGCGAACGGGUGAGUAACGCGUAGGUAACCUGCCUGGUAGCGGGGGAUAACUAUUGGAAACGAUAGCUAAUACCGCAUAACAGUAGAUGUUGCAUGAUAUCUACUUAAAAGGUGCAAUUGCACCACUACCAGAUGGACCUGCGUUGUAUUAGCUAGUUGGUGAGGUAACGGCUCACCAAGGCGACGAUACAUAGCCGACCUGAGAGGGUGAUCGGCCACACUGGGACUGAGCCACGGCCCAGACUCCUACGGGAGGCAGCAGUAGGGAAUCUUCGGCAAUGGACGGAAGUCUGACCGAGCAACGCCGCGUGAGUGAAGAAGGUUUUCGGAUCGUAAAGCUCGGUUGUAAGAGAAGAACGAGUGUGAGAGUGGAAAGUUCACACUGUGACGGUAUCUUACCAGAAAGGGACGGCUAACUACGUG
This 497-nucleotide ribosomal RNA is filed under the name uncultured bacterium. Its description in RNAcentral is "partial 16S ribosomal RNA". It matches the Rfam family "Bacterial small subunit ribosomal RNA", at positions 28 to 507 of the family's 1533-position model. The record is from RNAcentral.